GUGCUGGGGGUUCAGUGGUAGGACUCUUGCCUUCCGUGUGGGAGACCUGGGUUUGAUUCCUGGCCAGUGUA
This 71-nucleotide transfer RNA is filed under the name Loxodonta africana (African savanna elephant). It matches the Rfam family "tRNA". Rfam says of the family: Transfer RNA (tRNA) molecules are approximately 80 nucleotides in length. Their secondary structure includes four short double-helical elements and three loops (D, anti-codon, and T loops). The record is from Rfam by way of RNAcentral. Lineage: Eukaryota; Metazoa; Chordata; Mammalia; Proboscidea; Elephantidae.